This 71-nucleotide transfer RNA is filed under the name Cordylochernes scorpioides. Its description in RNAcentral is "tRNA-Gly". Lineage: Eukaryota; Metazoa; Arthropoda; Arachnida; Pseudoscorpiones; Chernetidae. The record is from RNAcentral.
UGCAUCGGCCGGGAAUCGAACCCGGGCCGCCCGCAUGGCAGGCGAGAAUUCUACCACUGAACCACCGAUGC